RNAcentral lists this ribosomal RNA (940 nucleotides) under Morganella morganii. RNAcentral describes it as "partial 16S ribosomal RNA". The record is from RNAcentral. Lineage: Bacteria; Pseudomonadati; Pseudomonadota; Gammaproteobacteria; Enterobacterales; Morganellaceae.
GCCGCGGUAAUNNGGNGGGUGCANGCGUUANUNGGANUUANUGGGCGUAAAGCGCACGCNGGCGGUNGANUGAGUCAGAUGUGAAANCCCCGGGCUUANCCCGGGAAUNGCANNUGAUACUGNUCAGCNAGANUNNNUAGAGGGGGGUAGANUUCCAUGUGNAGCGNUGAAANGNGUAGAGAUGUGGAGGAAUACNGGUGGCGANGGCGGCCCCCNGGACAAAGACUGACGNUCAGGUGCGAAAGCGUGGGGAGCAAACAGGAUNAGAUACCNUGGUANUNCACGCNGUNAACGAUGUCGACUNGGAGGUUGUGCCCNUGAGGCGUGGCUUCNGGAGCUAACGCGUUAAGUCGACCGCCUGGGGAGUACGGCCGCAAGGUUAAAACUCAAAUGAAUUGACGGGGGCCCGCACAAGCGGUGGAGCAUGUGGUUUAAUUCGAUGCAACGCGAAGAACCUUACCUACUCUUGACAUCCAGAGAACUUNNCAGAGAUGNNUUGGUGCCUUCGGGAACUCUGAGACAGGUGCUGCAUGGCUGUCGUCAGCUCGUGUUGUGAAAUGUUGGGUUAAGUCCCGCAACGAGCGCAACCCUUAUCCUUUGUUGCCAGCGCGURAUGGCGGGAACUCAAAGGAGACUGCCGGUGAUAAACCGGAGGAAGGUGGGGAUGACGUCAAGUCAUCAUGGCCCUUACGAGUAGGGCUACACACGUGCUACAAUGGCGUAUACAAAGGGAAGCGACCCCGCGAGGGCAAGCGGAACUCAUAAAGUACGUCGUAGUCCGGAUUGGAGUCUGCAACUCGACUCCAUGAAGUCGGAAUCGCUAGUAAUCGUAGAUCAGAAUGCUACGGUGAAUACGUUCCCGGGCCUUGUACACACCGCCCGUCACACCAUGGGAGUGGGUUGCAAAAGAAGUAGGUAGCUUAACNUCCGGGAGGGCGCU